AUGGAGCUGGUUCCUUCUGCUCGUCAGCUAAACGAGCCCCUGUGCGUGCAGGGGUGCGGUGGUGGGAGGCUUGGGGCCUCCAGCACUGCUGGGAAGCGUUACGGGAGCCCACGGGGCUGGGGCCGGGGCAGGACAGCCCCGUGGUUUUACCUCCUGCUCCCUUCCUCUCCCCAACCCUUUCCACACGAUGGUUUCCUGACUUCUCUGUGGCUGCCUCACACCAUCCUGCUGCUUCAGACCCCCAAGACCCCCUCCUGCACCACGGGAGCGAGCGGGGACACAGCUCCCACCAGGGGACCCCAUCCCAGGGCUGCGUCCCCGGGGUCCCCGUCCCUUCCCCACCCCAACACUGAGGUCACGGCGCUGGGGAGCAGCUGCCCAGGCCCUCCCUGGUGCCACAGGAGGGUGGGGGGCUCCACGCUGGAGCUUUGGGGGGGUUUGGAAAUGGCUUGGUGCUGCCUGGGCUGGCCCCAACCCCAUUUGGGGGAUCCCUUGCGCCCCAGUGGGGUUUUCUCCUGCAGGAAGAGCCGCAGCACCCAGCACCCCUCCUGCCCCCCGGAGCUGGGGGUCGCUGCGGGUGCAGGGACCUGGGGAGGAGCUGGGGGCUGCAGCAUCCCGGUGAGCCCCCUCCUGGAGCCACAGCUCUGCCAGGAGCUGGUUGCCUACACCCUGGAGCUGCCGCUGUGGAGGGGAGAUGUCACCCGGGUCCCCUGCAAGGUGAGGCGAUGCCACCCCAGCACACGGCAUCCCGUGAGCCUGGCCACGGUGGAUUUGGGGCCCUGGGCAUCUCCGCAUUGCCAGGGGGGUGGCAGCUGUGGGGCCGGUGGCAAGAAGCGGGGCAGGAGGAGCCCCCCACAGGGUGCCAGGGAUGCGGCGUGGCCCAGCACCGCGGUGCUCAGCGCUUUGACUUCCUUCCCCGCGCGGAGCCGAUUUCCUCCAGCGUCACGUGCGCGGCGCGGGGCCAGGGUGGCCGGGGGGAGCCUGGCACGGCGCCGAGCGGCACGGCCUGGGGGGCAGCCCCGUGCCAGCAGCCUGAGCCAGCGAGGGACCGGCCUGGCCACCAGCAGCAGCACAGGGCGAGGAUGGAGCCGCCCAAGCCGCCCCCGAGCAAGAGGAUGGCUCCUGCGCCCCCCGUCCCGGCCAAAACCAAACCAGCGCUGGGGCUGCCGAGCAAGCCCAGCAGCCCCCAGCCCGGCGCCUCGGCUGAACUGGAGCGGGGCAGAGCCGCAGACCCAGACGCCGACGGCUUCAGCGCCCUGCAGGUGA
Molecule: long non-coding RNA, 1266 nt
Filed under: Anas platyrhynchos platyrhynchos (common mallard)
Lineage: Eukaryota; Metazoa; Chordata; Aves; Anseriformes; Anatidae
Description: lncRNA (ENSAPLG00000023940.1)
Source: RNAcentral